This 202-nucleotide microRNA precursor is filed under the name Oryza meridionalis. Its description in RNAcentral is "MIR812 microRNA precursor family". It matches the Rfam family "MIR812 microRNA precursor family". The record is from Rfam by way of RNAcentral. Lineage: Eukaryota; Viridiplantae; Streptophyta; Magnoliopsida; Poales; Poaceae.
AAUAAACUAUGGGUUUCCGUGUCCAAUGUUUAACCGUUCGUCUUAUUUGAAAAAAAUAUGAAAAAAAAUAAAAAUACAAGUCACGCAUAAAGUAUUAAUCAUGUUUUAUCAUCUAACAACAAUGGAAAUACUAAUUAUAAAAGAAUUUCAUAUAAGACGAACAGUUAAACGUUAGACACGGAAACUCAAGGUUUAUCUUUUU